CUUCGGCGUCUUUGGACGCGAGAAUGUAAACGUGUACGCGAGUGCGCUGAACACAUCGUACAAAGUACUUCAUGUUAUUCACAAGAAAAGUCUUGAAAGAAAUGCGGAUAUAAUUAGUCAGCUUUCAUCUUUUCUUAUUUCAUUUUCGAUACUAAUUUGUAAUUUGUCAAUAUUGUUACAGGUAACCAAUCAGAACUAUAAACAAAACACACAGCGAGAGACCUCUCCUGUCCCUGCGCUGUCACAAGGGUUAUCUCAACAACGCACAGUAGGCAGCGCAGAGUUUAUGCGAUAGUGAAGAAGAAAACACGGGGUACGCGAUACAAGGUUAAUGAUCAAAUGAGUCUUUUCUCUACAAACAAUUCGUAACUGUCCGUUAUUCGUGAACGUUUCGAUUUUGUAAUUGUGUUUAAGUGGGAUUUAUGAUUUUGAGAAAUUAUUAAUCAAAUUGCAAUGUUUUGAAUAAAACAGUUAUUAGAUGAAUUUCAUGUGUCUAAUAACAUCCGAUUACUAUUUUUGACUGGUAUUUUGAAAAACCAUUUUGUAAGAACAUCAUAUUAGAAUGUCUUUCACCUACCACAUUUUUGGUGUCCAUAAAUUUUGAAUUGGAUUCAGAUCAGGACUAUUUUUUGGACAUUCCGUAUAUAGUUGAUAUGUCUUAUUGUUAAUACUAUUCUGUCAGAAGCUGUACAUUUCUGGAAACGAGCAUUAUGGUCCGUGAAACGAAGAACAUUGUUAGAUUGAGCAGGUAGUAUAUAACAUUAACUUUUUCUAAAGUUUGAUUGCCUACACAUAUAAUCACAUUUAUAUUCUCCUUACAUGCAAACGAUGUGACAAAAUACAAAUUAUAAUUGUAGAAGCGUAACAGAAUCUUAACCCGUUAGUUACCAGGCUCUCGAGGAAUAUCGACCACCACAGAGCAGAUAUUUUAUUGUUAUAACAUGACAUCAAUUGUCAUUUAUUUUGAGGUAACGAAAUCAAUUGUUGCUGAAGAAUCAGAAACUGUAGUUAUCCGCAGACAAAUAUCAUAUUUAGUAGGGUCCGUUGCAGGAAAAAGGGCAUGCGGGAGCACGCAGGGGCAAGAAGGGUCGCUGUGUGUUUCACGUAAUGCAACAGAAUUAGUACACUCGUCCUCUAUUUACGCAAGCUUCUUAUUUACGCGGUAAAUUAUAAUACUAUAAUUAUUGUGGUAUUAAUGGUAUUUAAAUAUGUUUUAUUUUUAAAGAAACAUAGGAAUAGAUAAUUGAAUAGAAUACAAAUAAAUAGAAACGAUAUAGC
Nomia melanderi (Alkali bee) is the source of this 1278-nucleotide non-coding RNA. The record is from RefSeq and is a predicted model, not a curated record. Lineage: Eukaryota; Metazoa; Arthropoda; Insecta; Hymenoptera; Halictidae.